This 24-nucleotide non-coding RNA is filed under the name Cricetulus griseus (Chinese hamster). Lineage: Eukaryota; Metazoa; Chordata; Mammalia; Rodentia; Cricetidae. The record is from RNAcentral.
AAGUCCACCGAGCUGCUGAUCCGC